RNAcentral lists this ribosomal RNA (498 nucleotides) under uncultured bacterium. RNAcentral describes it as "partial 16S ribosomal RNA". It matches the Rfam family "Bacterial small subunit ribosomal RNA", at positions 28 to 507 of the family's 1533-position model. The record is from RNAcentral.
GACGAACGCUGGCGGCGUGCCUAAUACAUGCAAGUCGAACGAGAGCGACCGGUGCUUGCACUGGUCAAUCUAGUGGCGAACGGGUGAGUAACACGUGGGUAACCUCCCCAUCAGAGGGGGAUAACAUCCGGAAACGGAUGCUAAAACCGCAUAGGUCUUCGAGCCGCAUGGCUUGAAGAGGAAAAGCGGCGCAAGCUUCUGCUGAUGGAUGUACCCGCGGUGCAUUAGCUAGUUGGUGAGGUAACGGCUCACCAAGGCCGUGAUGCAUAGCCGACCUGUGAGGGUGAUCGGCCACAUUGGGACUGAGACACGGCCCAAACUCCUACGGGAGGCAGCAGUAGGGAAUCUUCCGCAAUGGACGCAAGUCUGACGGAGCAACGCCGCGUGAGUGAAGAAGGUUUUCGGAUCGUAAAACUCUGUUGUUAGAGAAGAACAAGUGCUAGAGUAACUGUUAGCGCCUUGACGGUAUCUAACCAGAAAGCCACGGCUAACUACGUG